UAUCUCUUGAAGUGGCUGACCUAUCAACUUUCGAUGGUAAAGUCAAAGUUUACCAUGGUUACAACGGGUAACGGGGAAUCAGUGUUCGAUUCCGGAGAGGGAGCCUGAGAAACGGCUACCACAUCCACGGAAGGCAGCAGGCGCGCAAAUUACCCAAUACCGGCUCGGUGAGGUAGUGACAAUAAAUAACAAUAUGGACCCUAGUGGUUUCAUAAUUGCAAUGAGAACAUUUUAAAUACUUUAUCAAGUAUCAAUUGGAGGGCAAGUCUGGUGCCAGCAGCCGCGGUAAUUCCAGCUCCAAUAGCGUAUAUUAAAGUUGUUGCAGUUAAAAAGCUCGUAGUUGAAAUUGGGGAACGUGAACUAUUUUUUGGUCAUUGAUCAAAAACUGUUUGCUCCUUCAUCGUCGUGUAUAUCGGUUGAGUUCUUAAUUGAAUUUGAUUGAUAACCGACAAGUUUACUUUGAAAAAAUUAGAGUGCUUAAAGCAAGCUUAUGCUUGUAUAUUGUUGCAUGGAAUAAUGAAAUAAGACUUCGGUUUUAUUUUGUUGGUUUUCGGAACUGAAGUAAUGAUUAAAAGAGACUGCCGGGGGCAUAUGUAUGCUGGUGCUAGAGGUGAAAUUCUUAGACCAUCAGCAGACAAACUACUGCGAAAGCAUUUGCCAAGAAUGUUUUCAUUAAUCAAGAACGAAAGUCAGAGGAUCGAAGACGAUCAGAUACCGUCCUAGUUCUGACCAUAAACUAUGCCAACUGACAGUUAGCUAAGGAAAAUUAUUUCUCCUUGCUAGAAGUCACCGGGAAACCUAAGUCUAUGGGUUCCGGGGGAAGUAUGGUUGCAAAGCUGAAACUUAAAGGAAUUGACGGAAGGGCACCACCAGGAGUGGAGCCUGCGGCUUA
Molecule: ribosomal RNA, 892 nt
Filed under: Diversibipalium multilineatum
Lineage: Eukaryota; Metazoa; Platyhelminthes; Tricladida; Geoplanidae
Description: SSU rRNA
Rfam family: Eukaryotic small subunit ribosomal RNA
Source: RNAcentral